RNAcentral lists this long non-coding RNA (6657 nucleotides) under Theobroma cacao (cacao). RNAcentral's name for it is "long non-coding RNA (TCAC_LNC005084)". Lineage: Eukaryota; Viridiplantae; Streptophyta; Magnoliopsida; Malvales; Malvaceae. The record is from RNAcentral.
AAUCAUUGACUCUAGUGAAGUUACACAAUAUUUGUCCUCUCCUUGAAUUUGCGGCUGUUCACACUCCUUAAUUGUGUUCUUCAUUAUCUCAGCUCCCGCUGAUCCAGGUUUCACUGAAAACUUGUUCAAAAUUUCUGGCAACUUGUCAGAUGAAAAUAGUAUCUUUUGGGCAAUGUGGCGAGGUAAGAAAGUUGCGGUCUCUGUAUUUUCAGUGAAAUGUAGGGGUCAUUGUUGCUCUGGGAUGCAUAUCCUUUUCCAGAAAGAAAAGCAACAUUUGGAUCAUCAUGGACUUGAGUCUCGGUGGCUGCUUAACGGUAAAGAAAUGGUGAUGCGUUAACAUAUACCGGCUUUCCCUUGUGUCCUGUGUUCACAGAUACUCCUCUACCUUUGCCACCCACAUUUACGAAGGUGCCACCCCCUGGCUUUCCAGUGUUCACUCCAACUCCUUGGCCUCCAACAUUCACAUGGGUGCCACCUCCUGGCUUUCGUUUACCGGUGUUCACACUUACUCCACCUUUUCCAACGUUCACAGCCGUGCCCCCAGGCUUCUCUUUUCCUGUAUUGACGUUUGCACUGCCACCCCCUACGUUGAAAGAGGUACCUUUGUUCUCCAUGAAGUCUGCAAAUAUACCAACAUGUGCUAGGAGAGCUCAGAUGAUUUCUUAAUUGUACUAUGAUAUGCUCAUGAAUGCAGCAGUUUACAUAAGUUUUUUCAUGAUAAGUUGAUACAUACAGAACAUAUACUCCAUUCUUUUUCCCAAAAAAGUUGCAAAACAGAACAUAUUUUUGUUCGUACUCUUACAUUAAAUUGCAAAAAACAUAAUAUAUUUUAGCACUUCACAUUUGAACUUUUUGCUGCAGAGAUUACCAGCCUGCUUCCCUGAUUGCAUGAUUGUGUGAUCUGUUAAGAGUAUUAAGCCAAUCCUAUAGGGAAAAGAAAGAUGCGAUCUUCCUAAGUCCUCACUUCCCUGAACCUCUCAAGGUAAGAGUUUUUUCUCAAAAAACCAUGGCGGUGGGGGCAUAAAACUAUUACAGUAGCUGCUUCCUUUUGGUCAGUAAAAAUGAUUUAGGAAAAUGAAUCCUUGGGUAUUAAGCACUCACCAGGAUGUAGCAUAACUUUGACAGCCUUCGGCAUUGGAGUAUUUGGCAGCACAUAGUUCCAACAGUGCCCAGGUGAUAAAACAGCAUGGCUUGCCACCACCGCUAGCUGCGACAGUUAGUUCAAAUCUAACCUCAUUAGUUCUGGCACCCUUCAACGACAAGUAAUGCACAUCAAAAUCCACUUCAAAGACAAAACUUACAGCUAUAAAAGCAAGAACCGGGGAGAGAUGAAACUCCAUAGAGAACCGAGUGUAAGCAAUAGAAAGAACUCAAGAAGAGCAAGACAAAGAGAAAAGAGACUCUAAAACUUAGGGUUGCAUGGAAAAAGAGAUAAGUAUGCUCCAAAUUUAUAAAAAGUGUUCGAGGACCAUUAGACCAAGUACUUAGGAACAACAGUCCAACAGUAUUUUUCGACUGAAAUAAUGUCUCAACUGCCACUGGUUUCACCUAAAUGCAAUUUGUGUCAUGUGGGCUUAGGCUGAGUGAGACGGGGAACGGUGGUGUGUUCAAUUUGCAUUCGCGAACAUAAUUGAUUGGGCCAUGGGUCACCAAUGAUGCCUUCAAUUUGGACGAGUUAGCAGGCUCAACAAGAAUCUGUUUUAAUUUUUGUAGACUUUUUUUUGAAGUUCACUACACUAACAAGUACCCAGUUUUAUGAGGAUUGAAUAUGUGUUCUUACCAGGUAAUUCCCAAAUUUAGCAUGGGUUUUGGCCUUUCUACAUGUUUUCACUAUGACAAUGAACAAUAAUUAUAACAUUUUGGAGUUUUUCAUUCCAGUUACAUCAUUGUCUUUAGUAAAAAUUUUUGGGGUGGGAGAUUGACAGGAUUGUGUUCAGCAGUUGCCCAUCAGUAGAACGUAUUUACGAUAUAACAUCUGCGAGUUUUUCAUCUCGUUGCAUCAUGGUCUUUAGGAAAAAUUUUUGGAGGUGGCAGAUUGACAGGAUUGUGUUCGGUAGUUGCCCAUACGUACUACGUGUUUAUGAUAAUUGUUUGGGAGAUGUCAGAUGAAAUAAGAGCCACCGGAUGUGAAAUACAUGAAUGUUAAUACAGUGUGUGAAAGCUAUGUGCAUGUGAAAGUGCAUUGAAAGAUAAUUCAACUAGCAUAUAAGAUUUGGGAUGCCACCUCCAAAUUAGGAGCUGGAUUUAAGAGGAUUGCUUGCCUAGAAAAUGUUUAAAGCACCUAACAACACCCCAACCUGUAGAGUCCUAACUCCUAAUCUGAUAAGAUUACUACAAGUAUUUUAUCUGUGAAUAUUUAUGAAAUUAUAUAUUAUAAAAUAAAAAGUAAAACACCUAAACCUUUUAAGUUCUCAUCAUAAUUCAAUUUUUCAUUAAGAUUGAAAAUGAAUAACCUGUUUCAAAAAUAUAUAUUCCAUCGGAUUCAUAAAGUUUGUCGUUAUCGAUGUGACAUUAAUUUAAUACUUUUAUUUACUGUUCAUCUCGUCUCAUGACACAUGAAUGCUCUGCUCUGUCAAACCCCCAAACCUCCGUUUCUCCAAAUGCUAAUCCUCCCCUUAAAACACUACUUUCAUGAACAAUUUUCUUAGCCGAUUCCAAUUAGAAAACACAAAAGGAUCUGUACACAAAAAGAAAACACCAGGUGCUGUCUUUUCGCAGCAGCUCUUUUAAACCUGUCUAUGCACCCGUUCCAAAGACCACCAACUCGGCGACCAGCAUCAAUCCCCAUCCUCACAGAAAACCAGCCAGCAAAACAAAAUUUCUCUUUAACUCACAAUCAGAAGUUACAAAUCAACUUCAAAAGUGGAUAAUUGAUUGCAUUGAAGAAGUUCAUUUUAGUCUUGGACAUGGCUAGAGAGUGACAUGUGGGAGGCUAGGUGUCAAUCUGCUAAGCUGUUGCAGAUUUCAAUGGCUUUCAAUAGGUUUUUUUUUUUACCUUUGUGGCAGAUGUGCAGGCAAACCCUUUAGGACAUGACCCCCAUCAAGUGCCAAGAAAAGAGUUGCAUAUACAAAUCCCAGAGAUCAUAGAGUCGUCCAGCCACAACCAAAUUUCCAUUUAGUAUACAACCAAACAAAAACCACAGCUAUCCAACUCCCUGUCCUUGGCAGCUCAAGCUCAUAAAAGUUACCAGCGGUUAACACCAUCACUGUCCUUAGCAGAUUUCAAUAGCUAUGUGGCAUAAAAGAUAAAGCAUUUUCUGCAGAUGAAAUGGUAAGAGGUUUCUGGAAGGAUAUUCCAAGACUAACCUUAUUGGAGUGCUCUAGACUUCUCGUUAGGUAUAAUUUUUCAAUUUAAUUUUAUGAGCAAAAAGAAGAAAAAUUGGCUAAGAGAAGUCGGCUAAAGCUGUCAGGACUUCAACCAAGGAGAAGCGAAGGGAAGGGAAGGGAAGGGAAAGCCAAGGAAAGGAAAUGCCAUGAGAGGGGAGAAAAAAGGUAAGACUUUCGAAGAGAAGAAACGGAUCUAGAGAGAAAGAGUUCAAGGAGAAGAAACGGUUUUAGAGAGAGGAAGAAACUAAGACCAAAAACCUGCGGUGAUUCCGGCUCAGGUGUUUUUAUUUUGAUAGGCAUUUUAGUCUCUUUCUAAAGUCUGUUAACAGCGUUAUUAAUGGACUCAGAUUGAAUUAUAGUUAAAAUUUAAAAAGGUUUGGUAAUUUACCGUAAAAUAAAUCGUUCAAUGAAUCUAUCCCCACCGAAUGAAAAGCCGUGCACCGCCCUUGCACUUUAGGCCAUACGCUCGUGUCAUGGAGAUUGGAAGGUAGAGGUUAGAACUUGGAAGCCAUUUUUCUCCUUUUCUUUUUGAUUAGUCUCUGCUUUUUCUUCUAGGCCUGGAGGCUAGAAGAAGCCUAGAGCCUAAACUCAAAACCUUAAUUUACAUGUUUUUUGGGAAGUCGUUUGGACCAUUUAGGUUCUUUUGGAUUCUGUCUGUGACCCAACAAAUCUAACUUUCCAUGCUGCCGUAGUCUGAGCUUUCAGCCUCUGAAAGAAAUCUAUCCAAUUGUUCCUUUUGGAGUACAUGUGUGCACGACCAGUCAGGGGUUAAGCUUGUGUUUGCUUAACCCCUCAAACCAUGGCACAUAAAAGACUAGAUCCUAGGUUCACUAGUACAACCACGAUAGCAGCCAGGAUAGUUGUUACCUCCUGUAGGAAUAGUAUAUUUUGAUCCACUGUCAGAUGGGCCAUUGCUGAAGAACUUAGUUCCAUCCAGCAAACCCACAGCAAUAGUUCAAAAGUGGUGACCUAAUGACUGCUCACAAUUUUGAGUACAAGGAAUUAGAACGCUUUACAUCUCAUUACAUCUGUUUUCUUCAUGCACCUAAACAUUGCAGUCCAUACAUUUACGAUUAAUGCUUUGAUUUGAAAUUUUUUUGUUGCCUUUUCAGUAUUUUGAUUGAAUUAAACGGUUAAAUUAACUAGCUUUGUCCUUUUGUCCUCUCAUAGAUCUUGAAGGCUGAAUUGAUUGCAAAUGUGCUGAACUUCUGAUAGUUAAUGGUGAUGAAUAUAAAAAGGAAAAAAAACUGUCAGAAAGAUUAAGAAAAAAUUGGAAGACAUGUUUGCAUUAGUCAGUUAGUUCUGAUGAAAUCAUAAAUUUUCUAAUGGUAAAAGAUGAAGAGAAAAUUUUAAGGGAAACUUAGUGUAAUAGACUCUAAUGCACCAGGGCCUUUUCCCUGUUAUGAUAUGAGUGAUUCUAUGUUGAAUUGCCACUCUAAUAGUAACCUUGAUUGCUUGGUUGAUACUUACACUUGAGGGAUCAGAAUGGUUUACAUUACUUCUGUAGCUUGAAUUAAAUGUUUAUUGACAUGCAUCAUCAGAGGACAUCUUUUAUUUUCACCUCAUAUUUAUCUUACUCACUGUCGUAACUUUCAUGUCAGUGUGCUGUUAACCUUGAAAGAACCUUUACGCAUGGAAUGAAUUGAAGGUGCUUUUUCACUUGGGCUACUUCAACAAAACAAAUUUAUGUGAUGGUGCUGCUUUGCUGUCAGGUAUGACCACAUUUCAUUGCUGACAUUUCUGGCCCUUUCUUGCUAGUUUUGAGUCCCAGCAAACUUUGUGUUGUUGUCACUGUCGUAACUUUCAUGUCAGUGUGCUGUUAACCUUGAAAGAAACCUUUAGGUGUGGAAUGAAUUGAAGGUGCUCUUUCACUUGGGCUACUUCAACAAACCAAAUUUAUGUGACGGUGCUGCUUCGCCGUCAGGUAUGACCACAUUCCAUUGCUGACAUUUCUGGCCCUUUCUUGCUAGUUUUGAGUCCCAGCAAACUUUCAGUAUUUGUUAUAUAUGUAUGCAUGUAUGUAUUUAUGUUUUAAUUUCUAUCUGAGCCAUGAUUCUUCUUUAAAUGUGGUUAUUUUCUAGCCUUCUAAUCAGUGACUUUCAAGAUUCAUGAGGGUGAAAAAUCUGCCAUCCAAUCCACCCCAUCAUCUUUAUUACUUCAUUACUUGCAACAUCCUGAGGCUUUCAUGGCUAAUCAUUUGGGCAAAUGUGUCUUUUGGAUGCGUUGAUUGUUUCCAGGAACCUAAGUGGCCCCUCUUUCUUUUCCCCAUGAAUUUACCAUCAUUCACAUGUCAAUGAUAUAUAUCAUUGUUAUUGAAUUGUCUUUUCAUUUGGUUAUUUGUUUUUAGUACCUUCUCAAGUGGUUUUCAUCAUGGGAUAGAACUCUAAUAGAUUUACCACCAAACCGUUGUGAUACAAAAAGUAACACCAUUUUAUCUAUUACUGAGUACAUGAUUCAUCAUUCAUUACAAAAGUGAACAUAUAGAUUGUGGAUAACUAAACCCGUGGGUUUGAGGUAUAUUAUUAUAGAACAAACUGGAUAUGGCUUUAAGCUGUUUUAAUGCACACUAUACUUAGUUGACUGAUGAAAUUAAAGGGUCUCAGUGUACUCUUCAGGCUUUUACUUGGGGAUCCAAACAAUGUGAUCCUGAGGAAGGAAAUGGCAGAUAGGAAUGGUUCCUGGCUCAACUUUAAGGACUUGGAAAGCCAAAUGCUUUGGGUUCCAUGCUGAUGUAUCUGUGUGGCAGAUUGCUACUGCUUUGGCUUUUGUCCCGUCAGCACCCUCCAAAUGAACCAUGUAAGCCCUUGUUGUUUCUGAUUUGUGGCAAUAGAAGACAGCAUAUGCAUAAUUCUGCUUAUGGCACACUACAGAUUUGUCACCUCCCAUCUUCUGCACUCCAGCUGCUAUUGUGUACUUCUGUUCGGGGGUUUGUUUUUGCACCUCUGUAGAGAUUGCGUAAGCAUUUUUCCCGAUCUUGGAAGUACUAAAGUCAAUCAUUGACUCUAGUGAGGUUGCACAAUAUUUGUCCUCUCCUUGAAUUUGGGGCUGUUCACACUCCUUAAUUGUGUUCUUCAUUAUCUCAGCUUCCGCUGAUCCAGGUUUCACUGAAAACUUGUUCAAAAUUUCUGGCAACUUGUCAGAUGAAAAUGGUAUCUUUUGGGCAAUUUGGCGAGGUAAGAAAGUUGCCGUCUCUGUAUUUUCAGUGAAAUGCAGGGUCAUUGUUGCUCUGGGAUGCAUAUCCUUUUCCAGAAAGAAAAGAGCAACAUUUGGAUCAUCAUGGACUUGAGUCUCGGUGGCUGCAUAAAUGUACUUAAAUGGUGAGGCUUUAAC